Molecule: ribosomal RNA, 497 nt
Filed under: uncultured bacterium
Lineage: Bacteria
Description: partial 16S ribosomal RNA
Rfam family: Bacterial small subunit ribosomal RNA
Source: RNAcentral
GAUGAACGCUGGCGGCGUGCCUAAUACAUGCAAGUCGAGCGAACAGACGAGGAGUUUGCUCCUCUGACGUGAGCGGCGGACGGGUGAGUAACACAUGGAUACCCUCCCUAUAAGACGGGGAUAACUUCGGGAAACCGGAGCUAAUACCGGAUAAUAUAUUGAACCGCAUGGAUCAAUAGUGAAAGACGGUUUUGCCGUUACUUAUAGAUGGUGCCGCGCCUCAUUAGGUAGUUGGGAGGGUAACGGCUUACCAAGGCAACGGUGCGUAGCCGACCUGAGAGGGUGAUCGGCCACACGGGACCUGGGACACGGUCCAGACUCCUACGGGGGGCGGCAGUGGGGAAUCUUGCGCAAUGGGCGAAGGCUUACCGGAGCAACGCCGCGUGGGUGAUGAGGGUCUUGGGAUCGUAAGACUCUUUUAUUAGGGAAGAACAAAUGUGUAAGUAACUAUGCACGUCUUGACGGUACCUAAUCAGAAAGCCACGGCUAACUACGUG